ACAGAGCGAGACUCCGUCUCAAAAAAGCAAAACAAAAGAAAACCCUCACUGUGCAUCCUCUGCAGACUGGCCAGAACCACUUGAAAGUCAGUGGUCUCUUAUCAGAAAGGAAUGCUUGUUGAUUGUUGUGCAAAAACUACAAAAGGGAGAGACUGUGUCAGGCAGGCAGUUGAUAUCAAUAGUGGAUAUAGCCUUUCCAAAGGGCUAGUUGGUUUAACUCUUGGGAAAGAAAGCAAAGGAGGAGGUAGAGUGAGGCUCGUCUAACCUCUCCUCCUGUCAUGGCAGGGAACUCAGUUUUCAAGGUUUCUUGAGGUGGUCCUCUUGGACAAGAGGGGAUCUGUUCACUUGGGGGGCUUAGGAUUUCAUUUUUAGGUCUCAGUAUGUAUUAAAAAACCCACAGAGUAUAUAGAGUUUAGUACUAUCUGUGGUUUCAGGCAUCCACUGAGAGUCUAGGAAUGUAUCCCCCUCAGAUAAGGAGAUACUACUGUAAAUAUAAUCAUAUAAUUUAAGUAUAUUCUGUUCAAUUUCUUUCAUAUACCAUAAUGUUUUAAAAUAUUUAGUUGUUUUUUUGUUAGCCUUAUAUAGUAUAUGUAUGCUACAAUUUGUUCAUUUACUAGUUGAUAGUUCAAAUGUUCUGUAUUUUAGUAUCAAGAAUGAUGCUGCUAUGAACAUUUAUGUACAACUCUUUGGAUGAAUAUAUGCUAUCUUUUCUCUUUGCAAGAGUAGCUCAGAGAACUCAAGAAAACUGUUUACUCACAUUAACCCUGUACUGCAAAAGUUACAGAUGAAGAGCCAGAUGAAAGAGAUCCAUGAGGCAAGACAUCGAGUCAUGAAUAUGGAAUGACUUCACCUGACUUCACUUGAAAUUCACUUAAUUUUCAACUCUGUUGGCUAUGAGAAAAGGACAUCCAGGCCUCACACAAAAAUGGAUCAAUGAAUUGAAACUCACCAAAUCACCACCACCAGACAACGGGAUGCUGAGUCUCAUUCAUCAUGAUUGCUUCCUGAAGCCUUCUGAGUUCCUGUUUCCCUACACAUUGUUACAUUUCUUCCCUGCAACAUAAACCCCCAAUUUUAGUCCAUCAAGGUUAUAGAUUUGAGACUGAUCUCCCAUUUCCUUGGCUGCAACACCCAAUUAUAGCCUUCUUGGCAAUAAUUGUUGUCUCAGUGAUUGGCUUUCUUUGUGGCCAGCAGCAGGACCUAGACUGAACACCUGAUUUUCUGGUAACAGUAUAAUUUUUCUUCUUUUGUCUAUUGUGGUAGGUUACAUUGUUUGAUUUUUAAAUUAAACUGGCACUGCAUAGCUAGAGUAAAUGUGACUUUGUUGUGUUAAUUUUUAUAUGUUGUUGAAUUUGAUUUUCUUGUGUUAUGUUGAGAAUUUUACAUAUAUCUUUAUAAGAGAUAUUUGCUCGUAAUUAUCUUUUUGUAAAAUAUCUCUGUUUUUGCUAUGAAGGUUAUAAAAGUAAUUUUGGGAGUGCUCCCUAUUUUCUAUUAGAGAAUGAGGGAACUGGUACCAAUACUACCUUAAAUGUUCAAUAGAAUUCACAUUCGAAAUUAUCUAGGACUGGUUAUCUUUUGAGAAAAGUUGUUAAACAUUAUUCAGUGUCUUUAAUAGAUAUAGGCCUGUUCAGUUUAUCUAUUUCUCCCCAUGUGAUCAAUGGAAAUUUGUGUCUUUCACGUGAUUUUUCUAUUUCUUCUAAGUCAUCAACUUGUUGAUAUAAAGUUAUUCACAAUAUUCUUAUCCCUUCAAUGUUCAAAGAUUGUUAUUAAUAUUCAUGAAACUGGUAGUACUGAUCUUGCUUUCUUUUUUGAUAUUGUAUUGCACAUCUUUUCUCUUUUCAUGUUCAUUAAUUUGUGUGGAGGUUUAUCAAUUGUAUUCAUUUUAUUAAAGGACAAGUUUCUGG
This 1904-nucleotide long non-coding RNA is filed under the name Homo sapiens (human). Its description in RNAcentral is "HSALNT0325614". The record is from RNAcentral. Lineage: Eukaryota; Metazoa; Chordata; Mammalia; Primates; Hominidae.